AGUGAACGCUGGCGGUAGGCCUAACACAUGCAAGUCGAACGGCAGCACAGUAAGAGCUUGCUCUUACGGGUGGCGAGUGGCGGACGGGUGAGGAAUACAUCGGAAUCUACUUUUUCGUGGGGGAUAACGUAGGGAAACUUACGCUAAUACCGCAUACGACCUACGGGUGAAAGCAGGGGAUCUUCGGACCUUGCGCGAUUGAAUGAGCCGAUGUCGGAUUAGCUAGUUGGCGGGGUAAAGGCCCACCAAGGCGACGAUCCGUAGCUGGUCUGAGAGGAUGAUCAGCCACACUGGAACUGAGACACGGUCCAGACUCCUACGGGAGGCAGCAGUGGGGAAUAUUGGACAAUGGGAGCAAGCCUGAUCCAGCCAUACCGCGUGGGUGAAGAAGGCCUUCGGGUUGUAAAGCCCUUUUGCUGGGAAAGAAAAGCAGCAGGUUAAUACCCCGCUGUUCUGACGGUACCCAAAGAAUAAGCACCGGCUAACUUCGUG
Molecule: ribosomal RNA, 492 nt
Filed under: uncultured bacterium
Lineage: Bacteria
Description: partial 16S ribosomal RNA
Rfam family: Bacterial small subunit ribosomal RNA
Source: RNAcentral